GGUAUCCUAACCGUGCAAAGGUAGCGUAAUCACUUGUCUUUUAAAUAAAGACUAGUAUGAAUGGCCACAUGAGGAUAGACCUGUCUCUUAUAAUCAACCAGUGAAACUGAUCUUUAAGUACAAAAGCUUAAAUAAACACAUAAGACGAGAAGACCCUGUGAAGCUUAAAACUACCACUAUCUUAAAACAGUAUAGUGUUAAAUUUUAGUUGGGGCGACUUCGGAACAAAAUAAAACUUCCGAGCAGGAGUCAACCUCUCCAACCAAGACCAACAAGUCAAAGAAAAACCAGACCCAGUCUAACUGAACAACGAACCAAGUUACCCCAGGGAUAACAGCGCUAUCUUCUUCAAGAGUCCAUAUCGACAAGAAGGUUUACGACCUCGAUGUUGGAUCAGGACACCCAAAUGGUGCAGCAGCUAUUAAAGGUUCGUUUGUUCAACGAUUAAUAGUCCU
This 455-nucleotide ribosomal RNA is filed under the name Phoboscincus bocourti. RNAcentral describes it as "partial large subunit ribosomal RNA". It matches the Rfam family "Bacterial large subunit ribosomal RNA", at positions 1935 to 2597 of the family's 2925-position model. Lineage: Eukaryota; Metazoa; Chordata; Lepidosauria; Squamata; Scincidae. The record is from RNAcentral.